CUCCAGGGUGGAGCAGGAGGCGCAAGAGCCCUCCGAGGUGGAACAGGAGGCGGAGCAGGAGGCGGAGCAGCCCUCCAGGGCGAAACAGGAAUCUGCGUCACGGUCUGGGACCUGGGGAAAGCAGGGACAGAGGAGGCAGACAGAAUAGGGGGAGAA
Long non-coding RNA from Labeo rohita (rohu), 156 nucleotides. RefSeq lists it as uncharacterized. The transcript has 2 exons. The record is from RefSeq and is a predicted model, not a curated record. Lineage: Eukaryota; Metazoa; Chordata; Actinopteri; Cypriniformes; Cyprinidae.